This is an RNA transcript of Cebus imitator (Panamanian white-faced capuchin), 1519 nucleotides long. It is a transcript of the gene named class I histocompatibility antigen, Gogo-B*0101 alpha chain-like, with no coding region annotated. NCBI's taxonomy places the organism in Eukaryota, Metazoa, Chordata, Mammalia, Primates, Cebidae. The record is from RefSeq and is a predicted model, not a curated record. The transcript has 8 exons.
CUGGGAUGGGGUCAUGGCGCCUGGAACCCUCCUCCUGCUGCUCUCGGGGGCCCUGGCACUGACCAAGACCUGGGCGGGCUCCCACUCCUUGAGUUAUUUCCACACCGCCGUGUCCCGGCCGCAGGAGCCCAGCUUCAUCGCCUUGCGCUACGUGGACGACACUCAGUUUCGACCUCGAGUCCAAGGACCGAGGAUAGAGCCGCGGGAGCCUUGGAUGGACCACCAGGAGCCGGAGUAUUGGGACCACCAGACAAGGAAUGCCAAGACCUGCACACAGACUUUCCGAGAGAACCUGGGGACCCCGCUCCGCUACUGCAACCAGAGCGAGGCAGGGUCUUACACCAUCCGGAGGAAGUAGGGCUGCGACCUGAGCCGCUGGCAUCUCCUCCGCGGGUACCAGCAGGAGGCUUAGGAUGGCAAGGAUUACAUCUCCCUGAACGAGGACCUGAGCUCCUGGACCGCCGCAGACACAGUGGCUCAGAUCACCCAGGUCAAGUGGGAGGCGGCCUGUGAGGCGAAGAGGCUGAGAGUCUGCGUGGGGGACGAGUGCGUGGAGUGGCUCUGCACACACCUGGAGAAUGGGAAGGAGACACUGCAGCGCGCGGAAACCCCUGCAAAGACACACAUGACCCACCACCCCCUCUCUGACCAUGAGGACACCCUGAGGUGCUGGGCCCUGGGCUUCUACCCUGAGGAGAUCAUACUUACCUGGCAGUAGGAUGGAGAGGACCAAACUAAGGACACCAAGCUUUUCGAGACCAGACCUGCAGGGGAUGGAACUUUCCAGAAGUGGGCAGCCGUGGUGCUCUGCCCCUUCCGGGGCAGAGCAGAGAUACAUGUGCCAUGUGCAGCACGAGGGGCUGCCGGAGCCCCUCACCCUGAGAUGGGGUAAGGAGGGGAGUGGAGAGUCAUGUCUCUUCUCAGGGAAAGCAGAAGCCCUUCUGGAGCCUUCAGUAGGGUGAGGGCUGAGGCCUGGGUUCAUGGCCCCUCACCGUCCCCUCCUUUCCCAGAGCCAUAUUCCCGUCCCACCAUCCCCAUCGUGGUCAUUGUUGCUUGCCUGGCUAUCCUAGGAGCUGUGAUCACUGUGGUAGUUGUCACUGUUGUGAUGUGGAGGAGGAAGAGCUCAGGUGGAGAAAGAGGGAGCUACUCUCAGGCUGCGUGCAGUGACAGCGCCCAGGGCUCUGAUGUGUCUCUCAGGGCUUGUAAGCCUGAGACAGCUGCCUUGUGUGGGACUGAGAUGCGGGAUUUCUUCACACCUCCCCUUUGUGACUUAAAGAGCCUCUGGCAUCUCUUUCUGCAAAAACUUCUGAAUGUGUCUGCGUCCCUGUUAGCAUAAUGUGAGGAGGUGGAGAGACAGCCCACCCUGUGUCCACCAUGACCCCUGUCCCCACGCUGACCUGUGUUCCCUCCCCAGUCAUCUUUCCUGUUCCAGAGAGGUGGGGCUGGAUGUCUCCAUCUCUGUCUCAACUUCAUGGUGCACUGAGCUGCAACCUCCUACUUCCCUACUGAAAAUAAGAAC